This 1162-nucleotide ribosomal RNA is filed under the name Spirirestis rafaelensis CMT-2BRIN-HLNPC9. RNAcentral describes it as "bacterial SSU rRNA". It matches the Rfam family "Bacterial small subunit ribosomal RNA", at positions 356 to 1531 of the family's 1533-position model. Lineage: Bacteria; Bacillati; Cyanobacteriota; Cyanophyceae; Nostocales; Tolypothrichaceae. The record is from RNAcentral.
GGGGAAUUUUCCGCAAUGGGCGAAAGCCUGACGGAGCAAUACCGCGUGAGGGAGGAAGGCUCGUGGGUUGUAAACCUCUUUUCUCAAGGAAGAAAAAAAUGACGGUACUUGAGGAAUAAGCAUCGGCUAACUCCGUGCCAGCAGCCGCGGUAAUACGGAGGAUGCAAGCGUUAUCCGGAAUGAUUGGGCGUAAAGCGUCCGCAGGUGGCUAUGUAAGUCUGCUGUUAAAGAGUCUGGCUCAACCAGAUAAAGGCAGUGGAAACUACAUGGCUAGAGUGCGUUCGGGGCAGAGGGAAUUCCUGGUGUAGCGGUGAAAUGCGUAGAGAUCAGGAAGAACACCGGUGGCGAAAGCGCUCUGCUAGGCCGCAACUGACACUGAGGGACGAAAGCUAGGGGAGCGAAUGGGAUUAGAUACCCCAGUAGUCCUAGCCGUAAACGAUGGAUACUAGGCGUGGCUUGUAUCGACCCGAGCCGUGCCGUAGCUAACGCGUUAAGUAUCCCGCCUGGGGAGUACGCAGGCAACUGUGAAACUCAAAGGAAUUGACGGGGGCCCGCACAAGCGGUGGAGUAUGUGGUUUAAUUCGAUGCAACGCGAAGAACCUUACCAGGACUUGACAUGUCGCGAAUUUCUGUGAAAGCAGAAAGUGCCUUCGGGAGCGCGAACACAGGUGGUGCAUGGCUGUCGUCAGCUCGUGUCGUGAGAUGUUGGGUUAAGUCCCGCAACGAGCGCAACCCUCGUUUUUAGUUGCCAGCAUUAAGUUGGGCACUCUAGAGAGACUGCCGGUGACAAACCGGAGGAAGGUGGGGAUGACGUCAAGUCAGCAUGCCCCUUACGCUCUGGGCUACACACGUACUACAAUGCUACGGACAAAGGGCAGCAAGCAUGCGAAUGCAAGCUAAUCUCAUAAACCGUGGCUCAGUUCAGAUCGCAGGCUGCAACUCGCCUGCGUGAAGGAGGAAUCGCUAGUAAUUGCAGGUCAGCAUACUGCAGUGAAUUCGUUCCCGGGCCUUGUACACACCGCCCGUCACACCAUGGAAGCUGGUAGUGCCCGAAGUCAUUACCCCAACCGCUUGCGGAGGGGGAUGCCUAAGGCAGGACUGGUGACUGGGGUGAAGUCGUAACAAGGUAGCCGUACCGGAAGGUGUGGCUGGAUCACCUCCU